AACAAAUUGUCAACAAUCUAGCCAUUUUACUCCAUAAUUUGUCUCAUCUAAUCAAUCGUUUAAAAGCAACCAAACGAAAACCAAAUCUCUAAUCGUCUUGGCCUUUAUCUGCAGCGUUGCAGCGCAUCUACGUACUUGUCACGAGUUCGUCUAAGGCUGAUCGAGUAAGAGGAAUGCCAAUUCCCUUUGGUUCCCUCUGUCCUGUUCCCACCAACAGGCACUCACAUACAAAAACACGCGCACGCUUGUUGUACCCUUCCUAUGUGAUUGCCGGGGCCAACCAACGCCUAUAGGUUCGUACCACAUAACUAUAUCAACCUCGUGGUCUUCAACAGGCUUUUAAGCACAUCCACACACAUCACACACGCCCUCAAAAGAGACCAGAGGUCGAAAGUUCCCGGGGGAGUGCGGAUCCAUGACUGGCUGAGCGAGUAAGUGAGUACAUACACGAAUAUUUGUUGGCCUUUUCGGUUGUCCGUCCUCAUGAACCAGGACCCAAUCGGCUUCGGCUUUUACGGGGCCUUUUUCUCGAUCACGCGUUCGGUUUUCACUGCGGAAGCCUUGCUUAGUCAAGCAAGGCCGGGACCGAAAUAAAAAAAAAAGAGUUGCUGUGGAUCCGUCGUUGGUGAUUGAAGUGCCUUCAGUGCGAAUCCUGAACAAGGCCAGUGUGGAAAUUGUUGCACAUUGUGACCAUCAAGUAAUUAUUCGAUAUGGGUUGCGGCUCAAGCACACAAGUGGGAGCCACUGAUAAUCCCACGCCAACAGAUGAAUUGGACGAGAAUGGGUCGAAUUCAGGCACUAACCCUGUCGAUGGACAAGUUGUGGAUGUCGAAGGUGAAUCGAAUGGAAACCUUCUGGACAAAUCACCGUUACCCCCAAUCAAAGCAGGCGAUAAGGACAAUCCUCAUCCUACGGACGAGACCACGACCGAUGGAGUUUUGCGUCCCAAAACUAGCAAUCCUAAUCAUCGAUCGCCUCGUCGAUUACCCAAGUUAACUGGACCCAUUGGCAGCUUGCCCCAAGUCGAAGACAUGAAUGAGGACAGCUCUGAAGAAGUAGACACCACGGAGCGAGGUGUGGGAACAAAUUCCAACAUAGAUAGUGCAUCCAUCAGAUCUUUGAACACCUUGAAUCCAGAGAAGGACACGGAAGGAAAAGAGGAUGACGACUUAGACGUGGUUGCCACGCCUGCCAUCUCUGCCAAGGGCUCAAAAACCUCGGUGAGAUCAGCUCAGCCCACACCUGUCCCACCUUCAUCUAAAGACGGUUCCACAUUGUCAUUGAAGGCGGAAGGUGAGGCUGAAGAGGGAACGGCAGAAGAGAAACCAUCACGAAAAUCAUCCUUGCACUCCACUAAGAAAUCGACGUUGUCGUUGCGAAAAAAUUCGUCACAUUCAUUACUAAAGUCUUCGACUUCAUCAAGAAGAGCCUCUUCGACCUCGAAAAACGAACAAUCGGAGCAUCCGGAUGAAAGUGUAGAGGCGCCGGAAGUGGGAAAUAGUUCGCGUAGAGGAUCCUCAGAGGAGAAGGAUGACGAUCCCACGCCCCCUGCGGAUGAUCCCGCCAACAGUGGAACCGAAGAAGAGGGAACACCUCCGGAACCAGAAGGGUCAGAAAAUGGGGAAGAACCAGCGGACGAUCCCACCGACAGUGGAACCGAAGUAGAGGGAACACCUCCGGAACAAGAAGGGUCACAAAAUGGGGAAGAGCCAGAGGAGAGUGCCGAGCACGACGAGAACGAAGCCAUCGAAAAGGCAGAAGAGCAGAACGAACCAGAAGAUGAAGGCAUUCACGAAGAGAGUGAAGACAAACCUGCCGAUGGUGACAAAAUUGCAACUGAGCUAGCCGAUGCUCCGCCAGAAAUCGACAAUGAAACCCCCAUGACUGCCAAUGAUCUGGGAACCGCUGAUCCAUCACGAUCAAACAGUGCUGUACAAGUCUCAUAACAAUCUGGUUAUCAAACUCGUUUCAUUCGAGGGCCUGCAUCGUAAUGGAAUGGGCGGACUCUCAGCUAAACAUUUGAAGCCACCACCAAUUCGGUUCGAUCAAAAUUUUAGAUUAAAAACAGAUUGGACAACCAUUUCCAUUCGAUUGUAAAUAUCUUUUUCUAUUGUUUUGGUUCAGUGAUUCCGCACCGAAAUAUGACGACAAAUAAACACAAUUUCAAACACCAAAAUGGGACUCUCCUACUGGUCGAUGUAUUAAAUCCCUUCCAGAGGAUGAUCCAGUGGGUUUUGGUCUAGAAACUUCUUCUUCAUAUGUUUUUUGCUACGAAAUUGUAGAAAGUGGUGCGGAAUGAUUCGCAGUCCACCGGUCAAAAAUCCAGCCAUAUCCGAAAACGUACCAUGGGAUUGAAUGGUGUGAUUACA
Tigriopus californicus is the source of this 2369-nucleotide RNA transcript. It is a transcript of the gene named cell surface glycoprotein 1-like, with no coding region annotated. The record is from RefSeq and is a predicted model, not a curated record. The transcript is spliced from 4 exons. Lineage: Eukaryota; Metazoa; Arthropoda; Copepoda; Harpacticoida; Harpacticidae.